GGAAAAGAGGCCUGGAAAAGCACCACUCCUGUCCAUGAAGCCCCCAGAUGGAACCAGGUCCUGUUCAGAAACCCCAUCUGUGCCUUUGGAGAGACUGCCCCGAGCACACAGGCCCAGCAACCGCCAUCUAUGGCCCCCAGGACCUAAUCCCUUCUACAUAGGGUUCAGUGCAUGAACAGCAAGAGGACCUUGUGCAUGAAUAAUUUGUUUCCAUACUACAGAGUGGGUAAUAAGCAGAUUAGUAAAAACAAUUCUGCUUCACUUCAAUAACAGCCUCCUCCAACUCAUUUUUUCUCAACAAACUUAUUUUUCCAGCAGAAGAAUCCCAGACUUCUUAGAGAACCCAGUGACUUUUUGCACCUUAAAUCUGUGAAAUCCUCAUGUUUUCUUCUGCCGUAUCCAUAGUUCAAACAAAGAUGAGGCAAAGCUAGACGCAUUCCUGAAGG
Molecule: long non-coding RNA, 446 nt
Filed under: Homo sapiens (human)
Lineage: Eukaryota; Metazoa; Chordata; Mammalia; Primates; Hominidae
Description: non-protein coding FAM41C:2
Source: RNAcentral